UGUAAACGGAGUGUAAGAAAAAAUGGCUGACGCGGAAGAGCUCAUCGAAGAACUCGAUGUGGAAAAAAAUAUCCGUGGAGGAAGUCGAGCUGAUAGAAUUGCUCAACAGUUUUAGAAUUACUGAAGCUAUUAUUGAAGCCCUUCUUGGUAAGUUUUAACCAUUCUUUUAUAGAAUUUCAAUUCUCAUCAGCCUUUUUUCGUGAUUGCAGUUAAUUCUUACACGAUUGAAACGCUAAAAGUGAUUCAGCGGCAAGAAAUCGAGCUGCUGAUUCUACCCCCGUCGCUUGCGGAGUGGACCAAAUUCAUUCAUACAUUGGAUAUUUGGAGAACAGCGCAGGGGCUACCAAAAGUCCAAAAAAUUCCAGCAAGUGGCAGCAGCUCUGCUUCGGUGCAAAAUACCAUUGUAAAGCCUUCUGAACCAAGGAUCACGUGGGAUUCAUGCACGGCCACCUAUUUGCUGAAAAACUCGUCGGAGGCACAAGCCAUCAUACGAAAAUACAGCCAAACACCGUUUCUCUCAAGAUC
This is a long non-coding RNA of Aedes aegypti (yellow fever mosquito), 525 nucleotides long. RefSeq lists it as uncharacterized. The record is from RefSeq and is a predicted model, not a curated record. Lineage: Eukaryota; Metazoa; Arthropoda; Insecta; Diptera; Culicidae. The transcript has 2 exons.